CACCAGACUCCUACGGGAGGCAGCAGUGGGGAAUAUUGCACAAUGGGGGAAACCCUGAUGCAGCGACGCCGCGUGAGUGAAGAAGUAUUUCGGUAUGUAAAGCUCUAUCAGCAGGAAAGAAAAUGACGGUACCUGACUAAGAAGCCCCGGCUAACUACGUGCCAGCAGCCGCGGUAAUACGUAGGGGGCAAGCGUUAUCCGGAUUUACUGGGUGUAAAGGGGGCGCAGACGGCGAUGCAAGCCAGGAGUGAAAGCCCGGGGCCCAACCCCGGGACUGCUCUUGGAACUGCGUGGCUGGAGUGCAGGAGGGGCAGGCGGAAUUCCUGGUGUAGCGGUGAAAUGCGUAGAUAUCAGGAGGAACACCAGUGGCGAAGGCGGCCUGCUGGACGAUGACUGACGUUGAGGCUCGAAAGCGUGGGGAGCAAACAGGAUUAGAUACCCCAGUAUG
This 448-nucleotide ribosomal RNA is filed under the name uncultured bacterium. Its description in RNAcentral is "partial 16S ribosomal RNA". It matches the Rfam family "Bacterial small subunit ribosomal RNA", at positions 329 to 793 of the family's 1533-position model. The record is from RNAcentral.